UAACAAAUAUACUUAUUAUUCUAUUUGCUAACGUUCCUGGCUUUGCCAACCGCGUCUGCAAACACUUUAUUCAUCUGUGUUCCGCUAGGUAUUUCCCAUUUGUUUUGUUUACAAUAGCUGAAAAUAAAUUCUGAAAGAAAAUCAAUAAAAAAAAAAUAAUGACAUAAUUUAUACCAAAGAUUGGGAAUAUAAGGAAAGGCAGUAACACAAAACAACAUAUUUAUUUAUGUUAAGGAUUGACACCUACACCUCCCUUGGCUUUCCUCAUGCCGAAUCCACCUGAAUUAGCUAAUUCCAACUCUGUAAAAAUUGCCUUCACUAGACCUCGCAGGAGCCGCCUGCCAUAGUUGCCGCAAUUGGCUACACAGGCAGACCACUGCGAAUUUGUUAUAUACACAUUGUCUGAAUUCAUCAGUCGCUUUCCGCCUGAUUCCUAAGAAAAAUGUUUAAAAAAAUUAUUUUAAAAUAAACAAAAAUAGAUCUUUAAAAAUAGUAAAAGUAUCAUUAAACAUCAGCUGUUUAAAUAACAGUAAAGCAGAUUAUGGUUUACAACAUUUCUCAGCCAAAGACUAUCACCAAAUCGUUAAAAUAAUUUUUAUGUUUGAAAAUGUGGAAAAUAACAAUGUAGCAUGAUAUUUAGAUAUAUAAAGUUUUGUUUAUUUACAAUAAAAUAGAUUUUAAAAUUGUUGACAUAUUUUGCCCACUAUCUCCAAAACACAAUUUUCGAGGAGUGACUGGCUUUUAAUAAGUUAAUUAAUAAGCUUAAUAAUAAGACUGGCUUAAAUUCUCAUAACGCUAUGAAAAGGUAGUAAAAAAAAUUUAAAUUGGAUGUUGAUGAGUAAAACAUUACAUAAAAACUUAGUCAUAAUCGAUGACGGCCUGUGUUUCUUUAAUAGCAUUUCUAAGAAAUUAAGUGGCUUUUAGUAAGUAUUGUUUCUGAAAAAAACGAAAUGGACAUAGUGGAACAGCUACAGUAUUACAAUAAAUUACUAUCUGUACAAACCUAGUUCUUUCUGGCCAUGGUCUGGCAUCUGAUGCAAAGCACGGCAUUACUGGCAGGGCUCCGUAUUUUCAAGCAUUUCUAAAAAGAAUCCAUUUAACGACAAAUCUUCGUAUAAACUGUUUACAUCCUAUAUUACGGCUUUGUUGGAGCUGGAAUGGCUGCCGGAGCUGGUGGGAAUUGGAUGUUGAUGAGUAAAACAGUACAUAAAAACUUAGUCAUAAUCGAUGACGGCCUGUGUUUCUUUAAUAGCAUUUCUAAGAAAUUAAGUGUCUCCUCUGAUGGUACUGAAAAAAGAAGAAAAUAUAUAUUUUGGUUUAACAAUAUUGGUAAACAAACCACCUUUACUUUUGGUCUAAAGUAACUUCAUUUGUAUAUGGCGCUAGAAUGUAAUUUCUUUUCAAUGUAUCGCUGAUUGAAGCAAUUGCCUUAGUAAGUUUUAGGGUAAAGCAACUUCCUUUUAGUAAGUAUUGUUUCUGAAAAAAACGAAAUGGACAUCCGUUCGAUUGUGCUAACUGGGUUUCGAACUUAGCGUUCACUUGAGCCAUAAGGGUUUCGAACUUGGAGUCCAGUUGGACUACUCGAGCUUCCAUUGCGGCCAAUCGACUACUAGUAUUGUCCCCCGAAGGCUUCUGAUUCGGAGUACCCGGUCUCCUGUUAGGAUAGCUAGAUUUGCCACCCCUAUUAGAUCUACCCCCCACUUGUCUAACUCUAUGCUGGGAAUCUUCCUCAUCUUCAUCCUCCUCAGAAGCCGAAGAGUGUAAGGGCAAGUGAUAAGAAGCAGUGGCAGAUUCAACAUGGGCUUUAAUUACCUCCUUGGACGACCUACCCCUCCUGUUAACAUACAACCCAUUGAGGCUUACGUAUUGCUCAUAUUCUCUUAGUGCUUCAGAGUCCCUGCACCCUAGACAAAACCUUAUGGCUGCCUGUUGCCUAAUCCAAGAUUUAGGAAGGGCGCCAUAGACCUUUCUUGUCAUAGUGAGGACCCUAUCUCCCCACUUAUCUACAGUUUCGUCCUCCCGCUGUGAGGAGGCUUCUUAUUUAGCUUGCAAAACUUCUGGAAGGUCAUCUUCCUCAUAUCGCUUGUCAAAAGCGCUCAUAAUUUUUCGAAAGUAAAUAUGUCUAUCCAUUCCAAUAAGAUUGACAUAAAACUCGGCCGCACUCCCCUCCACACACCAACAGAGUGCGUCCGUUCUUUCCUUUUCCGAAAGCUCCUGCUCUUCUGCGAACCUGAAGAAUCGCCAGUUUUCCUUCCUGUUAAACGUUAAAGUCUUUGGAAUAUCUUUAUACUUGAAUGACGUACCCCUUUGUCUUGGUGGAGCCCUCCUUUCAGUAAGCCUUAUAGUUCUUAAAAGCUUGGCAUACCCCUGAGAAUCAUCAGAUUCUCAUUCACUUUCCUCCCCAGAAUUCGGGUUAACAUCCUGAUCACUAUGCUCGUCCCCCCAAACGGCUAUUUCUACUUCCAGAAGGAUUAUGGUGGUGGCUUUGAGGUUCUUACUGAAAAUGAGGUUUGACACUGAGUCAAUUUGGAAAAACCUUGACCCUCCAGCACUGGAUUGGGAGUAAAGUCGAAUUCUUUAAUUAACUUAUAACCCCCUCCAACGUCUUUAAUAUCACCUAAACUUGUUGGAUAGAUGUUACCAUAACGGGACCUCCACAGAGUAAUCUUCUCCCCCCAUUUUUUACCAACAUUAGGGAUAGCGUAAAGAUCCGCAACAUCGCAGAAAUUUAUCUUAAUUUUACCAAACCUAUUCACGCUCAGAGAGAAACCGAAAUAGGUGUUGGGAAAGACUCGCAGAUACCGGUCUAUGAUCUCAGCUGUCGAUGCGAAGUUAUGCAGCAUAAGCUGCUGAUCGCGUAGGCUAUUUAGCAGGCGGAGGAUGUUGAGACCUUGCAGGAAGCAUUCUUCCGCUGUCUCAUCCUCCGCCAUGCCCCGGAGAUGCAAACAUAUCACCAGAUGGCGUUGGCGCAUGUAGCACUCCCCCAGAAUGCGCUUCAGAAGAUCGUCCUGUCUAGAACAGUCUUAUGUGAGCUGGGUGUGCUCUAGACCAAUCUUGCCCAGCACCUUGACAUCUCUUGACCCAGACAGAGCUCUCAGCCGCUCGAACUGGGUUGCCGUCUUCUUUUUGGGAUGAAUCACAAUGCCAACAUCGCAAUGGGGUUGGCGCACAACAGGGCUAAUCUCCCUGAAAGUGGGGUAAGUGGCAGGAUCGCAGUAUACUGCGAUUCCACCCCUCACAGCGACAGUUUAGGACACCCUCCGGCCCUCCCUACUUCGAUUAGGCCUUCAGAUACAAACCUAAAGCUCUGCGUAGCCGGUCUAAAUAGAAGUUCAAAAACUCGAGGCCGCGCUUCUGGGACCUAACGCGAUGUAUGGGUCACCCCUUGAGCAUCAGGCCCUGCAGUAGUUGGGAAGUCGCUUGCUUAGCUUGCUCGCGAGCCCCCUGAGCAUCAGUUCCAGCAUCUUGCUGCGCCUUCCUCUUCUGAGGGGGGUUCACAGGUAUAGGAAAAGCCACUUUCGGCUUCUGCGACAAUCCUCUGGAAUGCCCCCUCCUGAUUCCCGUUUGCCCCAAUGCUUCCCGCAGCUUGAUCAUUGCAGCCCGAGUCCUAACAUCGAUAGUCUGAUGUUCUCCCGGUUCCUCCGUGGAUUGCUCCCAGUAGCCUGUUCACCAGAUCAUGGAGAGAAGCUCCCUCACCAACAAUGUGCUGGGCCAGCCCCUCCAGUACCUUUAGCUGAAUGUUAAUUUGGCGCUUCGUGCACCGGAGCUAAGGUUUGAAGCAAGCCAGGGCGUGACUAGCUAGGAUGUGGAUGCGCAUGUUCACCACGUUGUUGUUAUUGUUUAAUAAACAAAUAUAACAAAUGUUAUUGUUUAUUAUACAAUAUACAGGUCUGAUUACUAAAUUUAAUGUUAUUUCUUAAAGCUGUAUCAUCAAAUUUAACAAAACUGACAACAUUUCCAACCUGGACCAUUUCGUUAAAAGGUCAUGUGACCUUUUUAAUUUAAGGUUGUUUGAUAUGAAAUUAAUAUAUUUAUUGAAUUAAGUACUUACCCACCUUGAGCCAGGGCAAGUUGUAUUAUUCUGGGUUGUCUAGACAUUUAAUAUUAUUGGGACCGUUGGGCACCUGGACCAUUUUGUUAAAAUAGGAUCAUGUGACCUUUUUAAUUUACAGUUACUUGAUAUGAAAUGACAUUCAAUAAUUCAUUGGGAACAUUGGGGACCUAAAAUAUAUGGUUAUAUGAUAAAUGAAAUAAAUAUACAGUAAUACAAAAUAUUUAUUGAUUUGAAUUUAGUACUUGCCCGUUUUAAGUGAGUUGAAGUUGUAUUAUUAUGGGUUGUCUAGACAUUGAAUGAUUCAUUGGGACCAUUGGGCACAUGGACAAUGCCAUUAAAAUUGGGUCAUAUGACCUUUUUAAUAUACAGUUUUUUGAUAAAUGAAAUUAAUAUAAUACAACAUUUUUAUUGAUAUAAAAUGGGCACUAAGUACUUGCCAGCCUUAAGCCAGGGCAAGUUGUAUUAUUAUGGGUUGUCCAGACAUUCAGUGACACUUCAAAUAUGCGGUUUUAUAUGAUAAAUAUAAUACAAUAUAUUACUUUAGUGAUAAAUAUUUCUGGGUUGUCCAAACAUUGAUUCAUUAAUGGGGUCAUGUGACACAAUUAAUAAAUAAGGCCCUCUUUAACACGCUCAUAAAGUGGUCAUAAUAUAUUUAAGUUUUGAAUAUAGGUCUGUAAAUCAAUUAAUAUUUGAUUAUUAUUCUUAAAAUUAUAAUGAUGUUUUUUCCUGUGUCAUUGUUGCUGCUUUGUACCAUUAUAUAAUUACCAGGCGCAGAUCCAUACAUCCUGACCCUAAUAUUUUUUUUUAUGUGGCCCUACUAUAGCUUUUCCCCUUUUGGAAAGUUUUAAAAAAACAGGAAGAAAAUGAAAAAAUUUAUUGCCCAAAACGACUCAGGAGUUAUUUUCUGGCGCCUGGUCUGGGACAUUUCUCUUUAAUGGUCCUUAUAGCCACACCCUACUCAGGAUCAGUUUUGUCCUUAGAACAGGACAAAACAUUCUAGAAAAUUUCAUUCAGAUCCAGUGAUCAGUUUUUGAGAUAUUUAUGUCUGGGUCUUUGGUCUUUUCAAUGACACCCCAAUUCACACCCGAACAUUGGUGCAUCUGAAGGGGGAUCAGGAGUGUCCUGAGGGUCCUGACCCCCACCCCCUUGGGCAAAAAAACCCCAGAAAUUCCUCUCCCCCUUCCCCCCAAAAUAGCUGAGAGCUGAAAUUUUGUUGUUACAAUGGGAAAAUUAUUAGUCAGGAAAGCUCAUUUCCCGCCAUCUAUGAAUCAAAAUUUUCAUAGGGGAGGACCCCGACCCCUUUCUUUUUGGGGUUCAUCGAUUUAUGGAAAAGAGAAUACAUAUGAAGCUACUCAAAUGUUUUUUUAUGUAUGUAUAUGGAAAAGGCUUGGUGAAAUUGUAUAAGACAAUUGUAAGACCAUCCUUGGAGUAUGGUAACGUUAUUUGGUGUCCUUCAUAUGAGAAAGAUGCUGAUACACUUGAAAAAGUUCAGCAGAGAGAACUUGACUUCUACCUGGAUCUCAGUUAUCCUGAACGUCUAAUUCAUCUUCAACCUUCCAACACUAGCGUAUAGAAGGAAACAAGCUGAUGUAAUGGGAUCUUUAAAAUCUUAAAAGGAAUUGACAAUCUUAGAACGGAAGGUUUUUUUUAUUCUGGAUUCUGCAUCCCGAACCAGACAUUCAUUAAAAAUCGAAAAACCUAAAGCUAAGGCAGUUUAGCUUUGCAGUGAGAGCAAUUAAUGACUGGAAUAACUUACCGGAAACAGUUGGAAAAGCUUCGUCUAUAAAUAAAUUCAAAACAGAGUUAAGGAAACACUGGAUAUCACACCCACUGAAGUUUAACCCUUAUGAGAGCAUGGCAGGGAGUCCAGAGAGGGGCACAUAAGCAAUUGCUUAAAGCCUAACACCAAAAGUAUACCAAAAAGCGCUAUGUUGGUACAGUCGGCCAGAAUGUUAAGAAGCAGUGGUGUUCAGCUUCAGGAUGAGUAGUUAAACAUUGAGAGAAUGAUAGCAACAAGAAUACAGUGUGCUGGCUCUUUGCUAGUUGACUCAUUUGCAUAAUUCACCAGACCAUGUUCUCAUCACAACAGACACUUGAAACUACAAAAAUCAGGAAACUGCUAAAAUGACACCAUAGCAAGAGUAAUUAAUAUUACAAAUUUACUUUUAAACCAUUUAUAUUAAUGCUCUUUCCUAGUUGACUCAUUUGUAUGAUUCACAGGACCAUGGUCUCAUCAAAAUGAUGUAAUGAUAAUGAAUAUUCAUUGGCAGACACUUAAAACUACAAAAAUCAGGAAACUGCUGAAAUGACACCACAGCAAGAGCAACUUCUAGAUAGCAUAUAUAGCUUUCAGUCGAUAGUGGGCGGGUGGUGGGACCUGGGAUUUCACCGCAGCGAAUAAUUUUCAAAAAUUUAGGAGGGUGGGUGGCCAACCCACUACUUCAUAUAAGAUUUGAACUAUGUUGUUGUUUCACUAAGACUAAUUUGAAUAUCAAACAAAAAGGUUUUUACUACAGUUUCUACAACCUAUAAUACGUUAAUUGCAUUGCAUAAAUUCUGUAGUUAACCUUCAGAGAACUUAAUUUUAAUAAAUGGCCUAAUUAAGUAUCUUUGUAUACUUAUGUAUGUGAGUAUGUGUUCCAUAUGUGUUUUUGAUCCAAUGACCGGGAUA
Molecule: long non-coding RNA, 6725 nt
Organism: Anneissia japonica
Lineage: Eukaryota; Metazoa; Echinodermata; Crinoidea; Comatulida; Comatulidae
Exons: 4
Source: RefSeq, a predicted model, not a curated record